This 374-nucleotide ribosomal RNA is filed under the name uncultured bacterium. RNAcentral's name for it is "bacterial SSU rRNA". It matches the Rfam family "Bacterial small subunit ribosomal RNA", at positions 32 to 414 of the family's 1533-position model. The record is from RNAcentral.
AAUCAACGCUGGCGGCGUGCCUAACACAUGCAAGUCGCACGAGAAAGGGGAGCAAUCCCUGAGUAAAGUGGCGCACGGGUGAGUAACACGUGACUAACCUACCCUCGAGUGGGGAAUAACCUAGAGAAAUCUGGGCUAAUACCGCAUAACACUUACGAGUCAAAGCAGCAAUGCGCUUGAGGAGGGGUCGCGGCGAGAUUAGCUAGUUGGCGGGGUAAGUGGCCCGACCAAGGCAAUGACCUGUAUCCGGCCUGAGAGGGCGCACGGACACACUGGAACUGAAACACGGUCCAGACUCCUACGGGAGGCAGCAGUGGGGAAUUUUGCGCAAUGGGGGAAACCCUGACGCAGCAACGCCGCGUGGAGGAUGAAAU